RNAcentral lists this long non-coding RNA (1152 nucleotides) under Cyanistes caeruleus (blue tit). Its description in RNAcentral is "lncRNA (ENSCCEG00000000130.1)". Lineage: Eukaryota; Metazoa; Chordata; Aves; Passeriformes; Paridae. The record is from RNAcentral.
GAAAAUAGGUUAGUAUGCCCAAAAUUUACAAAAGAAGAAAUGGAGUGGAGAAGAAAAGGAAAGAGAUGGAAAAAAAAGGGGGAAAAAAAUGAGCAGUUUCAAUUUUAUAGGAUGGUACAGUCACUUUCCAUUUCUUACUUCUAUUCAUUCUUCACUAUACUAUUUGAUUGUAUUUAUUUGCUUGUUAUAUUUAUAGAUGGCCUGCAGUGGUACUUUCUGACCUUUAACCAUUCUGUGAUUUCAUAGGACACUUCAGGCUCUCAGGAACCUCAGAACAUGUCUAGUUUAGCCUCCUGUUCAAACCAAAGCCAGGUAAGCAAUCAAACUAGGUUGAUGGAGGCUUUAGGGCUCUUUUGUCCCUCUAAAGCAGUUUCUUGGUCAAUCAAGUGUAUUCCAUUAAUUGAAACUACUGUUAUAACUAUAUAAUUGAUGAUAUAACUAUCAGUGUAACCAGUCUAUCAUCUAGGCUAGUUGUAAACGUUCCUCAGAAUGGUACUCAUGCCUCUUCCUUUACAGACUCUGCAGAGAUUUAUCACAUUCUGGCCAGAAGUUUAUCUGGCUCAGUUUUGCCCCAGUCAUGUUGAAAAACAUACUCCAGUAUAAUCCACUGUCGUUGUCCUCUCACCAUGUCACUUCAUCUUCUAAACUGUACCUCAUAUCUCUUUUCUCAUCUGCAAUAAUACUGUAGGUAGAGGCACCAAGGCACCAUAAAAUCCAUUGUCCAUAAAGAAAUGAGUUGAAAGAAAGCAGCCACCUGUUCGUGUGCAAUUGUGUGCAGUAAAAAAACAACAGAAGCAAAUUCCCCUGAAAAUAAUGGUUAAUUAUAUGUAAGUCUACCCAUUGUUAAAUAUUACCUUCAGCAUUUUUCUCCACUUAGGAUAGUGCAUAAAACAGAUUCCAUUCCCAGCACCAGAUCUCAUCCCUGGAAAAUCAAUGGCAGUGGAGACAGAAUCCCUAAAAUGCAUUAUGGAAUUGCAAGCUAAAGCCAAGGCAUACCCAUUCAACAGUGACUCACUGUGCAGCCUGGGCUGUCUCAGUUCAGGAAGAGGUGAAUGGGGCAGUGAUAGUUCUCAGUCUCAUAAAACACUUCAAGAACUUCCUGUGAAAAGGAGUAGCCCUGUUACUACAAUCUCUUACCCGCCUGCUUUCUAG